Molecule: long non-coding RNA, 1232 nt
Filed under: Homo sapiens (human)
Lineage: Eukaryota; Metazoa; Chordata; Mammalia; Primates; Hominidae
Description: non-protein coding lnc-VSTM2B-9:14
Source: RNAcentral
GCUGGGAGCAGUAGCAUCUUAGCUGCUUCCGGCCGCUGGUCGCAGGGCUGCGGGACUACAAUCUUCGCAUGAAAUGGAAGAGAGGGUGGUGCGGAUAGCUUGAGGAAGGUCUCGCAUCUGGGGCUCGAUCUCGUGCAGAGGAGCAUUUCCGAAGACACUGGCCGCUCCCACAAUGGCUCCGAAGAACCCAGCGACCAGCGGGUUCAUGAGUUUGUUGGGGCUGUCCACUCGGUACCAGCUGCGCAGGGAUGUCAGGACAAAGAAACAAGUUGCCUGGUUCCAGCCCUGCUUCAGCACGGGGCCUGUGGGGCCCCGGUAAGUCCCGGUGUUCCCGCACAAUCUCCUAACCCUGUGGAAGAAUCCCCUGUACUUGGAUUUGGAGAGGUCUGGCCAUGGAUUAACUUCACCUUGAUGGUCUCCAUGGGACAUAGGACCACCACGGCCUCGGCCACGCUAGCUCACUGGCCGCACCGCUGCCCGCCUUGCUGUUCACCAGUCCCUGGGCAUCCCGCAUCUGGUUGCUGAGGAACGCCUGACGCCGCCUUGUGGAUGAAGCCGCAGAGCAGGGAGCUGAGGCUGCGGCCCAGGCCCAGGCUGCCUUGGCUGCGACUGUGUGCCUGCAGGCCCCAUGCCCGGUAUCCGGUGGAUGCGAGUGCUAGUCCAGCUGCAGCUGCAUCUUCACGAACUCGGUGGGGAACGGGAUGCAGAUUUUUUUUUUCUUUUCCUUCCUUCCUUCCUUCCUUCCAACUUCCUUCCUUCCUUCCCCUUUCUUUCUUUCUUUUUUUUUUUUUUUUUUUUUUGACAGAAUUUUGCUCUUGUCCCCCAGGCUGGAGUGCAGUGGCGCGAUCUUGGCUCACUACAACCUGGAUUCAAGCGAUUCUCCUGCCUCAGCCUCCCGAGUAGCUGGGAUUACAGGCAUGUGCCACCAUUCCCGGCUAAUUUUUUUGUCUUUUUAGUAGAGACGGUGUUUCCCCAUGUUGGUCAGGCUGGUCUCAAACGCCUGACUCAGAUGAUCCGCCCGCCUCGGCCACCCAAAGUGCUGAGAUUACAGGCUUGAACCACCGCGCCUGGCCCUGUGAUGUAGAUUUUGAUGCUGCCAGCCAGGCUGCCUGCCGGGAUCGCCUGCCCUGGAGCAGGAGCAUCAGCCGUGCGUUCCAGGACGCAGGCAUGGCAUGACCGGCAGGAGGCGGAGUGCCCGGCGUCUCUUGGGAUCGGAGCCUCCUGAAUUCCAC